UACGUAGGGGGCUAGCGUUGUCCGGAAUCAUUGGGCGUAAAGCGCGCUCAGGCGGUCCUUUAAGUCUGAUGUGAAAGCCCACGGCUCAACCGUGGAGGGUCAUUGGAAACUGGGGGACUUGAGUACAGAAGAGAAGAGUGGAAUUCCACGUGUAGCGGUGAAAUGCGUAGAGAUGUGGAGGAACACCAGUGGCGAAGGCGACUCUUUGGUCUGUAACUGACGCUGAGGCGCGAAAGCGUGGGGAGCAAACAGG
This 253-nucleotide ribosomal RNA is filed under the name uncultured bacterium. RNAcentral describes it as "partial 16S ribosomal RNA". It matches the Rfam family "Bacterial small subunit ribosomal RNA", at positions 524 to 776 of the family's 1533-position model. The record is from RNAcentral.